Molecule: ribosomal RNA, 460 nt
Filed under: uncultured bacterium
Lineage: Bacteria
Description: partial 16S ribosomal RNA
Rfam family: Bacterial small subunit ribosomal RNA
Source: RNAcentral
CCUACGGGAGGCAGCAGUGAGGAAUAUUGGUCAAUGGCCGUAAGCCUGAACCAGCCAAGUAGCGUGCGGGAUGAAGGCUCUAUGGUUUGUAAACUGCUUUUACACGGGGAUAACACCCUCCACGUGUGGAUAUCUGCAUGUACCCUACGAAUAAGCAUCGGCUAAUUCCGUGCCAGCAGCCGCGGUAAUACGGAAGACCCGAGCGUUAUCCGGAUUUAUUGGGCUUAAAGGGAGCGUAGGUGGGGGGUUAAGGCAGGUGGGAAAGUCUGCGGCUCAACCGGAGACCCGCAGUUGAAACUGGAAGUCUUGAGUACAGUAGAGGCAGGCGGAAUUCGUGGUGUAGCGGUGAAAUGCAUAGAUAUCACGAGGAACUCCGAUUGCGAAGGCAGCCUGCUGGGCUGCGACUGACGCUGAGGCUCGAAGGUGCGGGUAUCAAACAGGAUUAGAUACCCGGGUAGUC